This 226-nucleotide ribosomal RNA is filed under the name uncultured bacterium. RNAcentral describes it as "partial 16S ribosomal RNA". It matches the Rfam family "Bacterial small subunit ribosomal RNA", at positions 16 to 231 of the family's 1533-position model. The record is from RNAcentral.
GACAUGGCUCAGGAUGAACGCUAGCUGCAGGCUUAACACAUGCAAGUCGAGGGGCAGCAUGGUCUUAGCUUGCUAAGGCUGAUGGAGACCGGCGCACGGGUGAGUAACACGUAUCCAACCUGCCGUCUACUCUUGGCCAGCCUUCUGAAAGGAAGAUUAAUCCAGGAUGGGAUCAUGAGUUCACAUGUCCGCAUGAUUAAAGGUAUUUUCCGGUAGACGAUGGGGA